UAAUGUGCCUUGGGAGCAGGUGAUAGUUGAAUCUCUUCCAAAUUGAAGCCCUGAAAAGGUGACCAGGUGUUCCUGUCACUCUAGGUGGUGUGAGCCCAAGAACAAGGCUGUGAAACUUAAGUGCCCUUCUCAGUGCUGGAGUGUUUGGUGACUAUUUCUCUCUGCUUCAGGGUAGCAUCACAAGCGGAGCACUAGCAAAAUUUUCAACACUAGAUACCUUUAGCCAUUAAGUAGUAGAUGACUGGAAGUGGGCAUCCUGCGACAAGCAAGGGGCACCUCAAUGUGACUGAGUGCAGAUCCAAGUGCAGACAACAGAGAAAUGUCGUGUGGGGUCUUAGUAACUGAAUGCUUUUUACUCUGGGAUGUGUCAAGGGAGCAUACUGGUUGUACUGGAUGUUUCAAAAAGCAACUCUGGGGUACAGCAGGGGAUGGUACUAUUUUAUAAUGCAGAUGUGUCUGAGGUAUCAUCAGCCUUUCAUGUUUGUGAUUAGUUGCAUUUUCAUCUUUGUGUUUUAUCUGGAAAACAGGUAAAAUAGGAAGAGCAGCAAGUUUUAUAUUUCUGUGCUUUCAGCAGUAAAGCAAUACUUUCAAGUCAUUUCCAGAUGGUUUGCACAAAACACCUUCUUUCAGAACUGCAAGUUUUAAUUUUACUGUGUGUAGCUAUUUUUACAGUGCUAACCAGAUCUUAUAAUUUAUAUUUGAAAGGUUGUUCCCUCCCCCAUCAUUUUGCAUGCUUUUCAAAAUGUCUGGUAUGUGGUUAAAAUGGACUCAGACAAUGUUUAAUAGUUUUAUGAAUUAUAGUGUUAUGCAUUGGAGAUUUAAUUCUGAGUGCUUUAGGCAGACCCUCUGUGAUCUGACAUAAUAUUCCUAAGUUAAAGAAUGCAUUUAUUAUACCUUUGUUCAGUUACACAUGAACUAAAAACUAGGAUUAUCAAAUAAAUUCGUUGAUUCUAAUUUAGAUUAUUUUUAGCUUUUCAUUUUAGUACUAUAAAGUGCUAUUUGCAUUUAGUUACUCAUAUAUCUAGUUUGCACUAGAACAGUAUAGGGCAUACUUCUUUGUUAACUUUUUAGAAUUUCUAGUCCCUCUGAAAUGAAUUCAAAUUUCUGGUGCAAGUUGAAGUUACACUUAGAGUGAAGUCGUAAGUCCUUUAAACUAGCAUUAAACAACCAGGAAACAUAGAAUGCUCUUGACAGAGGAGUUGAGGAGACUGUGUUUUGUCCAUGUACCACAUAAAACCACACAGUCAAAUCCAAGACAAAUCAAGGGUAAUGUUCCUAAUGACUUAAUGGGAUCGGGAUUUCACAUUUGUGUAGGUCAAAGUCCCACCAGUAUUAAUGGUGAUACUGUUGGCAAGGCCAAGCUGCUGAAACAAAAAGUUACCCAAAGCAAGACAAAAAUGUCAAGGUCCAUUAUGGCAAACUAGAAAUUAUAUUCUAAAUGAAUUCCAGUAUAUGAAGCAAGUUACUUCAAUAGUAAUUGGUGGAUGUGAUGGGAUAAAUGUAUCCCUGAAUACAAAAUUCACACCUGAUCCUGAGGAAAGCUUGGAUAUUCAGGUUCCACUGUGACUCAGUGCCAGGGAGUACCCCCUGCAAGCUCUCCUGAACAUUGCGUGUCCUGGUGCAGUUAGCAUGUCACAGUUACAAAAGGGUUCUAAUAGCAGAUGUUCUAAUAGGAAAUAUUCAUAGACACAGUCUGGAUGACUGAAUUUCAGCUUGAUUGUGAACUUUGCCUGUCUAAAUUACAGACAAUGGAGUAAUUAUUGGAAUACUUUUUGUAUGCCUUAACAAAGAUGGUAAAAUGUUAUUUUACACGUACCUUUGGCAAGAACUUUUUUUCCUAUUUGUAAUUACACAUAGUCAAAGCAAUUUUCUUGUAUAUCUAUGAUAAUCUAUGAGAAGUUUUAGUAGUAAAGAGAACAUAAUCCCUAAAAUAACCCCCCGUUUUUUUAUGAGGUAUAACUUUGGGGGCCCUUUGAAUCUGCAACAAAGAAAAACAGCUGCUUCGGUUCUAAUCCAUGAACAAGACAAGUCUUAUUUGCUGCUGCAGUUAAUCAGUACAGUGAAUUUGUUUAUCUAACCAUGCAUGGUGAACAAGAGGACCACUAAUGCAGAAAGUUAGUGUUAGUCCAUCAAGACUUUCAGCUCUUAGAAAUGUGUUAUAUGGGCUUCAUAUAAAAUCCUGUUGAUUUGAAAAUGUUCUGUUUGCUAAAUGGGUAGUUUUGUUUUAAUAGCUACAGUAAAAAAAAUAUAUACAUAUUAGUUCAGUUUGCCUUGAGAAAAUUCAUAGUCAUCCACGAACCAUAUGGCUUUCUUACCUCUAGUAAAGAAAUAGCUCUUUGCAUGGCAGAUACAGUAUGUCAACAGCUAUAAUCAAAUAUAAGUAGCAGUGGGCAUGGAUGAAUCAGAAUCUGUUUUAAAGCAGACCUGUUGGAGACCACAACUUCUCAUAUUUCAUUCCGUAUAUAUCUCCAUUAUAGAAUUAUAUUUCCCGGAACAGAUUAUAGUUCACCACAUCUACUUUCUGUUGGAGAGGCCAAAAUGAUUCAUUAAAGUAAAAUAAGUACUCUUCCCAUGAUAUUUAUUUAGGAAAUGUCAAGUAGCAGUUUAUUCAUUUAGUACAUGCUCAGUUAUGAUGAGAGGAUGGAAAUCAUUGCAGUUAGAUUUCUCAAUCAGUGUUUCCACGCAUGCAUAUAUAUUUGGUCUCACUUUGCUUUUAUCUGUUUCUCACUGUACUUUCUUAAAUACUUCUUUUGUGCAUAAAAUUUACUUAUCUUCCAUGCAUUUUCAUUCCACAUUUGUCACAUUUCUCUGUCCUUGCUAGUUUUGAAAAUGAUCAGCAAAUAGCUUCCAAUAUGGCAUUGGCCGUAAGCCCUCUAAAUUUUUUUCUGAUUCUAUAAGUAUGUAUUCUUAUGAUCUAAAAAGACUUUCUUUCCACUUUUGAUAGUAAAAUUACAUCAGCAGUUAGCAGACAUACAUGAGGUAUACCAUGGAUGAAGGCUUUCAUCUCACAAGGGGAAUCAGUGUCUGUUAUCUUCAGUAGAUGCUGCAACCACUGUGUGUAGAUAAAGCAGAUAAAUUGACAGUAAUGGAACAUGUCAAAAAUAUGAUCAAAUGCAUACAUAAAUCCAACAAAACAGAAAUCAGUAGUUUAGAGAUUCAGACUGUACAUAUGCACAAAUAGCAGAAAGAGCUAAAGUAUAAACCAGAGCUUUCUAUAUCUCCCUGUCUUGGGUCCUUCAUAGCUACUUCUUCUCCACUCAAAAUCCUUCCACCACUCUCAAUUUUGCAUCUUCCAUCUUAAAUAUUCUCUUCAAAAAGUGAAUUUGUUAUGUCAGAGGAACGAAGAGCAUCUUAGGGUUGUCAGAUUGACCUGAGCUCAGUCUGAACACAAAAAGUUCUUGCAAGUCAAAGUUUAUUCUAGGAAAUGUAAAAUCUUAAUAAUGAUGUUGAAAGCAGUUAGGGAAGUGUAAAACUAAAACACCAAAGUUAGGGAGAAAUUGAACACCACUCUUGUGUAGUGGUCAUUUAAGGUGUUUCUGAUACAUAUUUCAUCUUGGAAGCUGAGAGGCUGCUCAAGCAGUGUUCAACCUCUGAAGUGCUGCCUUUCAGAGGGAACAGCUCCUCUGCAUUGCCCUGGAGGGGCAGCAGGUCAGUACUGAGAAUAACAAUUCAAAAUAUUUUUUAUUAUCUUUCUUCUUUAAUUUAGGGGAUACUGUAUUUUCAAUAAUCCCUAAGGUGUGGGGAGAAUGCAAAUUAAUUGUUUAAGCUUGUCCGGAAUCUAAUUUCCCUUAGCAUGCCAGGUUUUUCUAAUGCAUUGAUUUCCUACAUGAAAUUUAUUUUUCUGCACUGGAGGUCAACUGCAUUAGUUCCCUCUGAUUCUUUACUUCUUGACAGUAUGACUUGUAAUGUGAAACUUUUAAAUACCUUAAUAAUGUUAUGCAAAUUACAUACCAUAAGAUAUCUCCAAAGGCUCCAGCAAUUCUCCUUCUUUCGUAACCUGAUAGACUGGUGACUUUUCAUAGAAAACAUACACGAUAUUAUUAAUGAUGUGGAUAAUCAACUUAGCCUUAGCCUUAAAGGAAACUUUGUCCAAACCAUUUCAUUCUUUUGUGGUCAUUUUUAGAGUUCAUGCAGCUGCAGAAAUAUAGAAGAAGGCUAUUGUAUUAUUAUGUGCUUUAUUGGCAAUGAGGAGUAGAACAAACUUCCCAGCUUUCACACCUGCCCUCCAGUUUCACAAGUAGCCUAUAAAAAUAACCAGAACAAAUAGCUUCAAUUGCCACAAGUGGGAGGUUAUUUUUUAACCUCUUUUUUUCUCCCCCUGAAUGGCAGACAGCAGUGAGAGAAUCUCAAGUAGUUACUAUUCCUUUUAUUUCUUAUAAGAAUAAAACCCAGAGGAUCUUCCACCUUCACUUUCCUUAUUGAUUUACGACUUAAUGAGUCAUUGGGAUGUAAAGCUACAGAGCAUAAACGUUCUUAUUCUAUCGAAUUUGUCUAAACAGAGUCCAAGUAAGAUAAAAGACAACGCUUUUGCUUCAUUCAUGCAGAGUGAAAUUCUUUCCAAAGAGCAUCAGUGUAAGGCGACCUUUAUCCUCUGUGCAACAGCAGAUUUCACAUAAAUGAACAAAUAUAUUCUUUAGUUUUAGAGUUUGAUAACAAUUAUCUUCCCUGAUGAGCAGAAAGGAGGACAAAGCUUGCUUUUAUUCCUUUGAUUUACUUCCCUUGAUAGUGCAGUGUUUCAAAUCCUGCGUAGUUGAAGCUACAAGAAGAAUCUGGGCCUUUUUUUGAUGCUAGAAAAGGAAAUGAAAAAGCACAACCAAAUGUCUUGAAAAGACUGUGUCUGUCUGAAUUCUUUUUCAUACCUUUAACCAGGCUUCCUCAUGAUUAUGCAAUGUAGGGGAAGUAGUAUGUAGACUUAAUAAUAUUAAUUUUUUUUAAUUGGGCUGUGAAAACCAUCACAGCAAGAAGAUGUUGUGUAUCAGUAAGAACUAUUAAUAUCCUCUAGCUGGGAAGACGAUGGGCUCCCAUUCAUAAGAAUGACAUGAACUUCACCUUCCCUCUGGAGGAGACUUCAAGCCCUUCUGAUGUUUCCAGCCCUUUCUGGCUGCAGGACAUGAAACUGAUCUUUUCUUUGAUGGCAACUUGUGGCUUUGUUAUGCAGCAUCUGGCCUGGUUUUUGGCUAUUUUGGUAUUAUCCAUGCCAUAAUGUUUUACUUAAAGAGCACAAGAAGCAAAGUAUUCUUGGCAGCCAGGCUCUUCCUGUGUGAAUUCGCUUCUGAAAGACAUCAAUGUGAUUCUUAGUCUUGCUGCUUUCUUUUUUUUUUGAGCAAAACAUAAAAACUUGCAGCCUUGUCCACCCUUCGUAAAUAUGUCCAGCUUUUGUAAUCACUACCACUGGUGAAAUAUCAUCUGAAAGAUUUGCAAGAACUACAAAAAUAAACAACAAUGUAUAUGCAUGGAAGAUGUCUCCAUUAGGAAGGAAUGAUGGGUAUAUUGAAAUAUUCUUCCACAAAAACUUCUCAGUGGAUUUCCUUUAAAACUGUGUCCAUGAAAAUUUACUUGAUCUGUCCAGUACUACUGUUUCUUUGGCUGUGGCUAUUAAUCCUGUGUAGUUUGAUCUAGAGGAUUUCCUGAUAUUCUUUUUAAUUGAUUGAUUUUUUCAUGUAUUGUUUUAACACAAAUCUGUUUCAACCUAUAUACCUUCUAGAAAAAUUGAUUGUAUAUAUAAGCAACAACUUGUGAUUACACCCAAGCAUUUAUAUAUGUUCCACAAAGGAGAAUGGAGAAAGAGGUAAGAUUGCAGACCAAACAGUAACUUUUUUCAUUAGUAUCCUUAGAUUUCACAGAAAUUUUAAGAGUAAUUUAAAUAUUUCCACUGGAAAAAAAAA
Corapipo altera (White-ruffed manakin) is the source of this 5885-nucleotide long non-coding RNA. RefSeq lists it as uncharacterized. The transcript is spliced from 2 exons. Lineage: Eukaryota; Metazoa; Chordata; Aves; Passeriformes; Pipridae. The record is from RefSeq and is a predicted model, not a curated record.